AAGUCGAACGAUGAAGUGGAGCUUGCUCCACGGAUUAGUGGCGAACGGGUGAGGAACACGUGAGAAACCUGCCCCAGACUUUGGGAUAACAAAUGGAAACGUUUGCUAAUACCAAAUACCGUCGGGAGAGUCACAUGACUUUCUGACGAAAGGUAUUCCGGUUUGGGAGGGUCUCGCGGCCUAUCAGCUAGUUGGCGGGGUAAUGGCCCACCAAGGCAACGACGGGUAGCUGGUCUGAGAGGAUGGUCAGCCACACUGGGACUGAGACACGGCCCAGACUCC
RNAcentral lists this ribosomal RNA (282 nucleotides) under unidentified marine bacterioplankton. Its description in RNAcentral is "partial 16S ribosomal RNA". It matches the Rfam family "Bacterial small subunit ribosomal RNA", at positions 59 to 339 of the family's 1533-position model. RNAcentral also lists the same sequence under 1 other name. The record is from RNAcentral.